GACAGAGGCCUCAAGCGUUAGGCGGAAUCACUGGGCUUAAAGCGUGUGUAGGCGGAUGCCUAAGUACCUUGUGAAAUCCCACGGCUCACCCGUGGAACUGCUGGGUAUACUGGGCGUCUUGGGCCAUUUAGGGGCAACUGGAACAAGCGGUGGAGCGGUGAAAUGUGUUGAUAUUGGAAGGAACACCGGAGGCGAAAGCGGUGUACUGGGGCUGGUCUGACGCUGAGGCACGAAAGCCAGGGGAGCGAACGGG
This 253-nucleotide ribosomal RNA is filed under the name uncultured bacterium. RNAcentral's name for it is "partial 16S ribosomal RNA". It matches the Rfam family "Bacterial small subunit ribosomal RNA", at positions 524 to 776 of the family's 1533-position model. The record is from RNAcentral.